Long non-coding RNA from Physeter macrocephalus (sperm whale), 952 nucleotides. RefSeq lists it as uncharacterized. The transcript has 3 exons. NCBI's taxonomy places the organism in Eukaryota, Metazoa, Chordata, Mammalia, Artiodactyla, Physeteridae. The record is from RefSeq and is a predicted model, not a curated record.
CACCAACCUGCAGAUUGAUUUAUCUAAAAUGCAAAUCUGAGCAUAUCAUUCCCCUACUUAAAAUCUUGCAACAGUUCCGUGGAUGAAGUCCCAGCUCCCUGGGCUCCUGCCACGCCCCAGCCUCGUCUCCAGCCACACUGAGCCGGCUGUGCCACGUCGCUGCUGCCCACAUGGCUCCUCUGCCCAGCAUGCCUCGUCCCAGCGCUCUACCUGGCCAACCUCCCUACCUGUCUCAAUUCAUGUCAAACACCACCUCCUCUGGACAUCUUCCUUGCCAUUCGGCCCCUGCCCACCUCCCCACCCCUGACACCCCGAUUUGGGUUUACGGUCACACUUAUCCUGCUCUAGGGUGCUCUGUGUCUGUCCUCACUGCGCUGUGAGCUCCUUUAAGGGCACAGACUAUGACUUACUGAUCUCGUUUCCCCGGCAUGUCAUACAAUGCCAAGAACAUGGAAGCACCUCCGUCACGGCUACCGAACAUCUGGAGCUUUUAGGACCCAGGACGGUGGGCAAAUGACACGUGCUCUGCUGUGGCCGUGGCUCUAGGGCUGGGAACCUCCCCUGGUGCUUUAGAAAUGGAUGAUCACAGGGGAGCAGUCAUCCCUUUCCAUUUCUCAGGUACCUAAGGAACACUGAACAUUUCUAGGCAGCUACACUGAUAGACAUUUUUUGCAAUUCUAGCAUUAUACAGACCAGCAGCAAAAUGUGACUCGCGGCCAGCCCUGGGUUGUAGUGAAAAACAUUCAGCUGAAUUCGUCAGUGCUCUUCCGCAAAGGACAGGACCUGAUCCCAAUGUUUCUACCUCAGGACUCUGCCUUUAAGUUGACACCUGGGAGGUGGUGCUGAGACAGAAGAAGGAUGUUUCUCAGGCUGGAGAUGUGAAGGCCAAAAGGGAAGCGUGCAUCCAAAGACAGCUAUAAGUGUUGGUACCUGAUGUGAGUGGAGAAUAAGC